GACGAACGCUGGCGGCGUGCUUAACACAUGCAAGUCGAGCGGAAAGGCCCUUCGGGGUCCUCGAGCGGCGAACGGGUGAGUAACACGUGAGUAACCUGCCCCAGACUUUGGGAUAACCCUCGGAAACGGGGGCUAAUACCGGAUACGACACAGCUUCGCAUGGGGUCUGUGUGGAAAGUUUUUCGGUUUGGGAUGGGCUCGCGGCCUAUCAGCUUGUUGGUGGGGUGAUGGCCUACCAAGGCGACGACGGGUAGCCGGCCUGAGAGGGCGACCGGCCACACUGGGACUGAGACACGGCCCAGACUCCUACGGGAGGCAGCAGUGGGGAAUAUUGCACAAUGGGCGGAAGCCUGAUGCAGCGACGCCGCGUGAGGGAUGACGGCCUUCGGGUUGUAAACCUCUUUCAGCAGGGACGAAGCGUAAGUGACAGUACCUGCAGAAGAAGCGCCGGCCAACUACGUG
Molecule: ribosomal RNA, 462 nt
Filed under: uncultured bacterium
Lineage: Bacteria
Description: partial 16S ribosomal RNA
Rfam family: Bacterial small subunit ribosomal RNA
Source: RNAcentral